GGCGGCGUGCUUUCCACAUGCAAGAGGAAAAAACCUUCGGGUUAGUGGCGGACGGGUGAGUAACGCUUUUCCCUCUGCCCUCAGGAGAGGGGAUAACGGUUGGAAACGACCGCUAAUACCCCAUAUGCCGAGAGGUGAAAAGAAAUUCGCCUGAGGAUGAGCUCGCGUCUGAUUAGCUAGUUGGUGUGGUAAUGGCGCACCAAGGCUUCGAUCAGUAGCUGGUCUGAGAGGAUGAUCAGCCACACUGGGACUGAGACACGGCCCAGACUCCUACGGGAGGCAGCAGUGGG
This 290-nucleotide ribosomal RNA is filed under the name uncultured bacterium. RNAcentral's name for it is "partial 16S ribosomal RNA". It matches the Rfam family "Bacterial small subunit ribosomal RNA", at positions 38 to 358 of the family's 1533-position model. The record is from RNAcentral.